This 191-nucleotide non-coding RNA is filed under the name Paenibacillus ferrarius. Its description in RNAcentral is "GlcN6P sequence". It matches the Rfam family "glmS glucosamine-6-phosphate activated ribozyme aptamer". From Rfam's summary of the family: This entry contains a glucosamine-6-phosphate activated ribozyme that is found in the mRNA for GlmS. The record is from Rfam by way of RNAcentral. Lineage: Bacteria; Bacillati; Bacillota; Bacilli; Caryophanales; Paenibacillaceae.
CCCAUAUCAAUAGCGCCAGAACUCGCAAGCGGAACGGGAAAUGUAGCGAAUAGCUGCUACUACGCGGUGAGUUGACGAGGUGAAGGUGUUCGAAACAUUCGGCGGGGACCUUCCGGCAUGAGGAGUGCCGUUAAGUUGGAGAGCAAAAACGUCUGGGCGACCAGGCUGACAAGUAUCCAACAACCUUUUAU